CGGGUGAGUAACGCGUGAGGAACCUGCCUCAGAGUGGGGGAUAACACACCGAAAGGUGUGCUAAUACCGCAUAACAUAUGGGAGGGGCAUCCCUUUCAUAUCAAAGAUUUAUUGCUCUGAGAUGGCCUCGCGUCCAAUUAGCUAGUUGGCGGGGUAACGGCCCACCAAGGCGACGAUUGGUAGCCUGACUGAGAGGUUGAACGGCCACAUUGGGACUGAGACACGGCCCAGACUCCUACGGGAGGCAGCAG
RNAcentral lists this ribosomal RNA (251 nucleotides) under uncultured bacterium. RNAcentral describes it as "partial 16S ribosomal RNA". It matches the Rfam family "Bacterial small subunit ribosomal RNA", at positions 103 to 354 of the family's 1533-position model. The record is from RNAcentral.